RNAcentral lists this ribosomal RNA (253 nucleotides) under uncultured bacterium. Its description in RNAcentral is "partial 16S ribosomal RNA". It matches the Rfam family "Bacterial small subunit ribosomal RNA", at positions 524 to 776 of the family's 1533-position model. The record is from RNAcentral.
UACGUAGGGUGCAAGCGUUGUCCGGAAUUAUUGGGCGUAAAGGGCUCGUAGGCGGUCCAUCGCGUCGGGAGUGAAAAGCUGGGGCUUAACCCCAGUCCUGCUUCCGAUACGGGUGGACUAGAGGUAGGUAGGGGAGAACGGAAUUCCUGGUGUAGCGGUGAAAUGCGCAGAUAUCAGGAGGAACACCGGUGGCGAAGGCGGUUCUCUGGGCCUUACCUGACGCUGAGAAGCGAAAGCAUGGGGAGCGAACAGG